UGAGGAAUAUUGGUCAAUGGGCGAAAGCCUGAACCAGCCAUGCCGCGUGAAGGAAUAAGGCCCUAUGGGUCGUAAACUUCUUUUGUAUCGGAGCAAUAAGGGUCACGAGUGAUCCGAUGAGAUUACGAUACGAAUAAGCAUCGGCUAACUCCGUGCCAGCAGCCGCGGUAAUACGGAGGAUGCAAGCGUUAUCCGGAUUUAUUGGGUUUAAAGGGUGCGUAGGCUGUUCUGCAAGUCAGCGGUGAAAGCCCGGGGCUCAACCCCGGAAAUGCCGUUGAUACUGCGGGGCUGGAAUACGGAUGCCGUGGGAGGAAUGAGUAGUGUAGC
This 327-nucleotide ribosomal RNA is filed under the name uncultured bacterium. RNAcentral's name for it is "bacterial SSU rRNA". It matches the Rfam family "Bacterial small subunit ribosomal RNA", at positions 355 to 679 of the family's 1533-position model. The record is from RNAcentral.